Molecule: long non-coding RNA, 1157 nt
Organism: Musca domestica (house fly)
Lineage: Eukaryota; Metazoa; Arthropoda; Insecta; Diptera; Muscidae
Exons: 6
Source: RefSeq, a predicted model, not a curated record
CUAUCGUUAACAUCGAUGUUGGAGGGAAAUAUUGUUAUUGAAAUAUUGUUAUGUUGAUUUGUAUUGAAGAACAGGACACCGAAACUUGGACAAAAACACGAAUUGUAUUGCCAUGGAUGAGAGAACAGCUUUUGAAAAAUGAAAAUUGGAUAAUAAAAAGAAAAUGCGAAAUAUGCAUCGGAUGUUGGAGGGAAAUAUUGUAAUUGUUGAUUUGCAUUGAAGAACAGGACACCGGAAGCUUGGACAGAAACACGAAUUGUAUUGCCAUGGAUGGGAGAAAAACUCUUGAAAAAUGAAAAUUGGAUAAUAAAAAGAAAAUGCGAAAUAUGCAUCGGAUGUUGGAGGGAAAUUUUGUAAUUGUUGAUUUGUAUUGAAGAACAGGACACCGGAAGCUUGGACAGAAACACGAAUUGUAUUGCCAUGGAUGGGAGAAUCGUAUUGCCAUGGAUGGGAAAAAAACUCUUGAAAAAUGAAAAUUGGAUAAUAAAAAGAAAAUGCGAAAUAUGCAUCGGAUGUUGGAGGAAAAUUUUGUAAUUGUUGAUUUGUAUUGAAGAACAGGACACCGAAAGCUAGGACAUCGGAUUCUCUUCAAAGUUUACGCAUCCUAAUAUUGAUGACACAUGAUCGGUGUGAAAAUGGGAUAUAUGUUCAACCUCCUCCACAACGAGUCAGCAUUUUGAAUAACAGAGCGGUAAUAAAAAGCAUUGAAGAACAAGACACCUGGAGCUUAGAAACUUGAAAAUUGCAUAAUGAAAACAAAAUGCGAAAUAUGCAUCGGAUUCUCUUUAUUUUACGCAUCCCAAUAUUGAUGACACAUGAUCGGUGUGAAGAUGGGAUAUAUAUAGAACUAAACGGUAAUAAAAGGCAAAAUAAGCAUCCGAAUCUCUUCAAAUUUUACACUUCGGAACAACAAGAUGUGGUAUGAAGAUGUUGGAUAUUGGUCUUAUUCUGGUACCUCCGCCACAAAUGAUCACAAUUUCAAAUACUUAUAGCUCUCAUAACAUGCGGAACAAGUCAGUGAUUCUAUGUGAACUUGGUAUAUUAAAAUAUUUCUGUCAACCAGAGAUCAAUAGUGGAAUUUUGUUUUGAGUUACCGACAAAAGUCAGUGAAAUUAAAAUGCUUAUAAUUUCGGUAAUUACGAGUUUUUUUUUCGGAA